UCCUUUAAUCUUUUCUCGGUGGACUUGAGGAAGUUCUUGACGGAUACGAGGAACAGGAAUGUAAAAAUAAAUGUGGAGAAACGAGGAAUGUUGAGGAAAGACGAAGGAGGAGAAUUGAGAAGCAGGUAAGAAGAAGGAGGAGGCGGAGGAAGGGCCUCGCACACCUCACUCUUAAAAUGUAAACAGCCCACACUGGCUCUCGGACGACCGGCAGAGCUCAGUCACCCAUAAGCCGUCAGAGGGGGAGGUUGCGUCUCGGUUGUGGCAGUCUCGCUCGUGUGAGUUUCGGUUCCACCCUUGGCGUCGCGCACCCCAAGACCUCAAAGUGUCCUACAUUAUACAUCACACUCGCUUCUCUUUCACUUUGUCCUCGCGCGUUCCUCGAGUAAUAUCUACACAUGAAGCAAUAUCUGAACAAAGAGUGACAGAGAAAGAUCCGUAACAAAGAAAUCUCAGUUUUACAAUAUUCUUUGUGUAUGGAAAAGACGGAAAGGAAGGAUUAAAAAAAGGAGAAUCAGUGAAAGAAAAUUGGAUGUGUGUUUGUAACUAAAGAAAACUAUAAAAAAAAGGAAGAAAAAAUUGACCUAUCAGAUACAUUAGAGAAAACAAAGAGAUAGAAGCAAUAAAAUGAGAGAUAAAUAAAACUGAAGGAAGAGGAAACGAGGGAGAACAAGAAACAGUUAUAGAAUCAGCGAACUCGGAAUAAAAAAAGAUGUAGGAGAAAGAGAGGGAAAGAAAGAGGCAGGAGACGAACAGUGAGGAAAUGUGGAAAGCCUGAAAC
Portunus trituberculatus (swimming crab) is the source of this 781-nucleotide long non-coding RNA. RefSeq lists it as uncharacterized. The record is from RefSeq and is a predicted model, not a curated record. NCBI's taxonomy places the organism in Eukaryota, Metazoa, Arthropoda, Malacostraca, Decapoda, Portunidae. The transcript has 2 exons.